UCCCUCCUCAAACCUCGGGUUUGGUGUUGGACCGAAGUUGGUGCCCCGCUACGGCUCGGCAACCAACUGGUCUCAAAGACAAUGACGGCGUCCGUGGGACCCUCUUCGCAACGAGCUUUCCGGAGCACGCGUCGAGUCUAAAGGACCCCCGGGCCCGGUCAUACCUCUCGGGACGUCUCGGCGUCUCCUGUUGUAA
This 196-nucleotide unclassified non-coding RNA is filed under the name uncultured Eurotiomycetes. RNAcentral's name for it is "sequence contains ITS2". The record is from RNAcentral. Lineage: Eukaryota; Fungi; Ascomycota; Eurotiomycetes.